This 253-nucleotide ribosomal RNA is filed under the name uncultured bacterium. RNAcentral describes it as "partial 16S ribosomal RNA". It matches the Rfam family "Bacterial small subunit ribosomal RNA", at positions 524 to 776 of the family's 1533-position model. The record is from RNAcentral.
UACGUAGGGGGCAAGCGUUAUCCGGAAUGAUUGGGCGUAAAGCGUCCGCAGGUGGCUGUGUAAGUCUGCUGUUAAAGAGUGAGGCUCAACCUCAUAAAAGCAGUGGAAACUACACGGCUAGAGUGCGUUCGGGGCAGAGGGAAUUCCUGGUGUAGCGGUGAAAUGCGUAGAUAUCGAGAGGAACACCUGCGGCGAAGGCGGGUAGCUGGGCCGACACUGACGCUGAGGAGCGAAAGCGUGGGGAGCAAACAGG